UAUAGAAAAACCGUACCGCAAACCGACACUGGUAGGCAGGGUGAGAAUCCCAAGGCGCUUGAGAGAACUCGGGUGAAGGAACUAGGCAAAAUGGCACCGUAACUUCGGGAGAAGGUGCGCCCUUUGACGUGGUCACGUGCGUGACUGAGCGUUGAAGGGUCGCAGUAACCUGGCCGCUGCGACUGUUUAUCAAAAACACAGCACUCUGCAAACACGAAAGUGGACGUAUAGGGUGUGACGCCUGCCCGGUGCUGGAAGGUUAAUUGAUGGGGUCAGCCGCAAGGCGAAGCUCUUGAUCGAAGCCCCAGUAAACGGCGGCCGUAACAAUAACGGUCCUAAGGUAGCGAAAUUCCUUGUCGGGUAAGUUCCGACCUGCACGAAUGGCGUAACGACAGCGGCGCUGUCUCCACCCGAGACUCAGUGAAAUUGAAUUCGCUGUGAAGAUGCAGCGUUCCCGCGGCAAGACGGAAAGACCCCGUGAACCUUUACUAUAGCUUUACACUGAACGUUGAGUUCUUCUGUGUAGGAUAGGUGGGAGGCUUUGAAGCGCAGACGCCAGUUUGCGUGGAGCCAACCUUGAAAUACCACCCUGAAGUGCUUGACGUUCUAACCUCGGCCCGUAAUCCAGGUCAGGGACCGUGUAUGGUGGGUAGUUUGACUGGGGCGGUCUCCUCCCAAAGAGUAACGGAGGAGCACGAAGGUACGCUCAGCGCGGUCGGACAUCGCGCACUGUGUGCAAUGGCAUAAGCGUGCUUGACUGCGAGAUCGACGGAUCAAGCAGGUACGAAAGUAGGUCAUAGUGAUCCGGUGGUUCUGUAUGGAAGGGCCAUCGCUCAACGGAUAAAAGGUACUCCGGGGAUAACAGGCUGAUACCGCCCAAGAGUUCAUAUCGACGGCGGUGUUUGGCACCUCGAUGUCGGCUCAUCACAUCCUGGGGCUGUAGCCGGUCCCAAGGGUAUGGCUGUUCGCCAUUUAAAGUGGUACGCGAGCUGGGUUCAGAACGUCGUGAGACAGUUCGGUCCCUAUCUGUCGUGGGCGUUGGAGAUUUGAGGGGGGCUGCUCCUAGUACGAGAGGACCGGAGUGGACGUUCCGCUGGUGUUCGGGUUGUCAUGCCCAUGGCAUUGCCCGGUAGCUAUGAACGGAAGUGAUAACCGCUGAAAGCAUCUAAGCGGGAAGCACGCCCCAAGAUGAGAUCUCCCGAGAGCUUGACUCUCCUUAAGGCACCAUCGAGACCAGGUGGUUGAUAGGUCAGGUGUGGAAGUGCAGCAAUGCAUGGAGCUAACUGAUACUAAUGAGCCGUGAGGCUUGACC
Molecule: ribosomal RNA, 1312 nt
Filed under: metagenome
Description: bacterial LSU rRNA
Rfam family: Bacterial large subunit ribosomal RNA
Source: RNAcentral